Molecule: ribosomal RNA, 305 nt
Filed under: uncultured Planctomycetota bacterium
Lineage: Bacteria; Pseudomonadati; Planctomycetota
Description: bacterial SSU rRNA
Rfam family: Bacterial small subunit ribosomal RNA
Source: RNAcentral
AAUGAACGUUGGCGGCGUGGAUUAGGCAUGCAAGUCGAGCGAGAAUCUUCAGCAAUGAGGAGGACAGCGGCGAAAGGGAGAGUAAUAGGUAGAUACGUGCCCAAGGGUUCGGGAUAGCCACGCGAAAGUGUGAGUAAUACCGAAUAAUGUCUCAGGACCAAAGAUUUAUUGCCUUUGGAGCGGUCUACUUCCUAUUAGGUUGUUGGUGGGGUAAUGGCCUACCAAGCCGAAGAUGGGUAGCGGGUGUGAGAGCAUGACCCGCCUCACUGGGACUGAGAUACUGCCCAGACACCUACGGGAGGCUG